CCUACGGGAGGCAGCAGUGGGGAAUAUUGGGCAAUGGGCGCAAGCCUGACCCAGCAACGCCGCGUGAAGGAAGAAGGCUUUCGGGUUGUAAACUUCUUUUGUCAGGGACGCAGCAAGUGACGGUACCUGACGAAUAAGCCACGGCUAACUACGUGCCCGCAGCCGCGGUACUACGUAGGUGGCAAGCGUUAUUCGGAUUUACUGGGGGUAAAGGGCGUGUAGGCGGGACUGCAAGUCAGAUGUGAAAACCACGGGCUCAACCUGUGGCCUGCAUUUGAAACUGUAGUUCUUGAGUACUGGAGAGGCAGACGGAAUGCCUAGUGUAGCGGUGAAAUGCGUAGAUAUUAGGAGGAACACCAGUGGCGAAGGCGGUCUGCUGGACAGCAACUGACGCUGAGGCGCGAAAGCGUGGGGAGCAAACAGGAUUAGAUACCCUAGUAGUC
RNAcentral lists this ribosomal RNA (443 nucleotides) under uncultured bacterium. RNAcentral's name for it is "partial 16S ribosomal RNA". It matches the Rfam family "Bacterial small subunit ribosomal RNA", at positions 338 to 795 of the family's 1533-position model. The record is from RNAcentral.